This 235-nucleotide ribosomal RNA is filed under the name uncultured Actinomycetales bacterium. RNAcentral describes it as "partial 16S ribosomal RNA". It matches the Rfam family "Bacterial small subunit ribosomal RNA", at positions 97 to 334 of the family's 1533-position model. The record is from RNAcentral. Lineage: Bacteria; Bacillati; Actinomycetota; Actinomycetes; Actinomycetales.
GGCGAACGGGUGAGUAACACGUGGGUAAUCUGCCCUGCACUCUGGGAUAAGCCUGGGAAACUGGGUCUAAUACUGGAUAUGACCUUUCUCCUUAUGGGGUUUGGUGGAAAGUUUUUCGGUGUAGGAUGAGCCCGCGGCCUAUCAGCUUGUUGGUGGGGUGAUGGCCUACCAAGGCGACGACGGGUAGCCGGCCUGAGAGGAUGAUCGGCCACAUUGGGACUGAGAUACGGCCCAG